CCUACGGGUGGCUGCAGUGGGGAAUAUUGGACAAUGGGGGCAACCCUGAUCCAGCCAUGCCGCGUGUGUGAAGAAGGCCCUCGGGUUGUAAAGCACUUUCAGUGAGGAAGAACGCCUGGUGGUUAAUACCCAUCAGGAAAGACAUCACUCACAGAAGAAGCACCGGCUAACUCCGUGCCAGCAGCCGCGGUAAUACGGAGGGUGCGAGCGUUAAUCGGAAUUACUGGGCGUAAAGCGCGCGUAGGUGGCUUGAUAAGCCGGUUGUGAAAGCCCCGGGCUCAACCUGGGAACGGCAUCCGGAACUGUCAAGCUAGAGUGCAGGAGAGGAAGGUAGAAUUCCCGGUGUAGCGGUGAAAUGCGUAGAGAUCGGGAGGAAUACCAGUGGCGAAGGCGGCCUUCUGGACUGACACUGACACUGUGGUGCGGAAGCGUGGGUAGCAAACAGGAUUAGCUACCCUGGUAGUA
This 465-nucleotide ribosomal RNA is filed under the name Vreelandella stevensii. RNAcentral's name for it is "partial 16S ribosomal RNA". It matches the Rfam family "Bacterial small subunit ribosomal RNA", at positions 338 to 795 of the family's 1533-position model. Lineage: Bacteria; Pseudomonadati; Pseudomonadota; Gammaproteobacteria; Oceanospirillales; Halomonadaceae. The record is from RNAcentral.